GGGCACUUAGCUCAGUGGAAGAGCAUCGCCUUCACACGGCGGGGGUCACAGGUUCAAAUCCUGCAGUGCCCA
RNAcentral lists this transfer RNA (72 nucleotides) under Candidatus Rifleibacteriota bacterium. Its description in RNAcentral is "tRNA-Val". It matches the Rfam family "tRNA". From Rfam's summary of the family: Transfer RNA (tRNA) molecules are approximately 80 nucleotides in length. Their secondary structure includes four short double-helical elements and three loops (D, anti-codon, and T loops). Lineage: Bacteria; Candidatus Rifleibacteriota. The record is from RNAcentral.